AUGGGAGGAUAACGGAAGCCACAUGGUUAAAGCACACUAGGAGUCACACUAACAUUUGUGCUGUGUGCCAGACACGGUGCACAGACCUUGACUAAAGUAUCCGAUUUGUGACUCAGGUCAACCCUGGGAGCACCUGGACAGUGGACGGCCUCAAUACCAAGAUUCAGGUGAAGUGGCCACUGCGGGGGAGUGGUAGCUGUGGCCCCAUCAGACCCCACAUCUGCAAAAUGUGGAUUCCGCCACCCACCUCAUAGGGUGGAGAACGGGCACAGAGAGCUCUCCAGACAGCAAGUCGCUCCCCCUUGCCCCACCCCUCAUAAGCUCGGCUGCUUCCUGGACUGCGGUUGCAUCUCCUUAAAUGCAGCCUGCUCUGGCACUCCGGCCCUCCCUGGCAUCCGGUCUCCAGGCCCCAAGGAACUGAAAUUCCUUUGGUGACUGUAGCUCUGACCUUUCCCCAGCCUCAUGUGGACACAGGAGGGACACUGGGCUGGGGAUGUGAUAACCUGGGGCCGUGAGGGGGACCCAGAGCAUGAAUCGUGGCCUGUGCCUGGACCUUUCGUGAAUACAGGACCUGUCUUGGUUCAUCACCGUGAGCUGGUUCUGUGGGUGGACGCACUGCCCUCCCAGCGCCGUGCCGUGCAGAAAUCCUCCCUCACCUGAUGCAUCCAAACAGGAUGGUGGACACCAAGAAAAAUGCCUCUGAGAAUGGGGCCAGACAUCUCAGCUUGGGCCUUUGCUUCCCACGGAGGGCUACAGAGGACCUCACGGAAGGUUUAAAGACAAAGCCUGGCUGGGUGGGUCCUGGGAUCCCCUAACACAUGAAUACCUGCAUUCACAGGUACCUACUAAGCCCCGACUACGUGGCCGGUCCUGAACACUGGGAAUGCAGAUAAAUGCAGUAGACAAAGGUGACUACUUUGUUGAGCUGU
Molecule: long non-coding RNA, 929 nt
Organism: Callithrix jacchus (white-tufted-ear marmoset)
Lineage: Eukaryota; Metazoa; Chordata; Mammalia; Primates; Cebidae
Source: RefSeq, a predicted model, not a curated record